RNAcentral lists this ribosomal RNA (253 nucleotides) under uncultured bacterium. Its description in RNAcentral is "partial 16S ribosomal RNA". It matches the Rfam family "Bacterial small subunit ribosomal RNA", at positions 524 to 776 of the family's 1533-position model. The record is from RNAcentral.
UACGUAGGGGGCAAGCGUUGUUCGGAAUUACUGGGCGUAAAGGGCGCGUAGGCGGCAUGGCAAGUCGGGAGUGAAAGCCCGGGGCUCAACCCCGGAGGGUCUCUCGAAACUGCCAAGCUAGAGUGCGGAAGAGGCAACUGGAAUUCCCAGUGUAGCGGUGAAAUGCGUAGAUAUCUGGAGGAACACCGGUGGCGAAGGCGACAUCCUGGACCGGUAUUGACGCUGAGGCGCGAAAGCCAGGGGAGCAAACGGG